Molecule: small nuclear RNA, 22 nt
Filed under: Arabidopsis thaliana (thale cress)
Lineage: Eukaryota; Viridiplantae; Streptophyta; Magnoliopsida; Brassicales; Brassicaceae
Description: snRNA_11492
Source: RNAcentral
CGCUUUUAUGAGAAAGAGAGAU